This 395-nucleotide ribosomal RNA is filed under the name uncultured bacterium. RNAcentral describes it as "partial 16S ribosomal RNA". It matches the Rfam family "Bacterial small subunit ribosomal RNA", at positions 523 to 918 of the family's 1533-position model. The record is from RNAcentral.
AUACGUAGGGUGCAAGCGUUAAUCGGAAUUACUGGGCGUAAAGCGUGCGCAGGCGGUUUUGUAAGACCGAGGUGAAAUCCCCGGGCUCAACCUGGGAAAUGCCAUUGUGACUGCAAGGCUGGAGUGCGGCAGAGGGGGAUGGGAUUCCGCGUGUAGCAGUGAAAUGCGUAGGUAUGCGGAGGAACACCGUAGGUGUAGGCAAUCCGCCGGGCCAGAUUAGGCGCAUCUGCACGAAAGUGGGGGGAGCAAACCGGUUUAGAUACCCUUGUAGCCCACUCCCUAAAAGGUGUCAACGGGUGGCUGGGGAUUUAUUUUCUGAGUAACGUAGGUACCAUGAGACGGGGACCGCCUGGGCAGUACGGUAGAAAGGUGAAAACUCAAAGGAAGUGCCGUGG